This 239-nucleotide long non-coding RNA is filed under the name Elaeis guineensis (African oil palm). Its description in RNAcentral is "long non-coding RNA (EGUI_LNC025814)". The record is from RNAcentral. Lineage: Eukaryota; Viridiplantae; Streptophyta; Magnoliopsida; Arecales; Arecaceae.
GCUCAAGAACCUUCAGAUCCAAGAUCAUUGGUUGCGGUAUAUUUCAACCCAUGCAAGAUAUUAAGAUCCGAUCUCAAUUUAAUUUUUAGAUUAUAUGCAUGUCUUAGAUCUAGGGCUUGGAUAGAUGCAUAUUAGAUCUAUAGCAUAUGGGGUUAAAGGGUUUAAUCUAGAUCUGUUUCUACUGCUGUUUCAAAAUUUUUUAAAAUUUAUGUAUGCUAGUCUACCCGAUUUUUUAAUAG